RNAcentral lists this ribosomal RNA (253 nucleotides) under uncultured bacterium. Its description in RNAcentral is "partial 16S ribosomal RNA". It matches the Rfam family "Bacterial small subunit ribosomal RNA", at positions 524 to 776 of the family's 1533-position model. The record is from RNAcentral.
UACGUAGGGUGCAAGCGUUGUCCGGAAUUAUUGGGCGUAAAGAGCUCGUAGGCGGUCUGUCGCGUCUGCUGUGAAAACUCAGGGCUUAACCCUGAGCUUGCAGUGGGUACGGGCAGGCUCGAGUUCGGUAGGGGAGACUGGAAUUCCUGGUGUAGCGGUGAAAUGCGCAGAUAUCAGGAGGAACACCGAUGGCGAAGGCAGGUCUCUGGGCCGAUACUGACGCUGAGGAGCGAAAGCGUGGGGAGCGAACAGG